UCCAGGACGAUCGAUCGGGACAUGGAGCUGUUGGCGUAAGUGAAAUCUCUGCUUUUCUUGGCUUUGGCCCUCAUUCCAGCUCUGGAGCUCUGUGUAGCAUCCCGCGACAUGAUCGGGGAUCAAUCCGUGGCCGAUUAUCUCCGAGACGUGAGGAGCCGAUUGAGCGAGCACCAAGCUUCGUCCGUGUAUAACCUCAAGCAAUGAAGCAAAAGUAAGCGAUUGUUUUUCUUUCUUUCUUUCUUCCUGCCUUUAUUCUUGUUUGAUCUCAAAGGCUCUCUCGUUUGAUCUUGUAUAGUUGUCUUGGACGAUUCAGAGAGCUGGAACCACGUUAGAAUCGCUAUGGAAGCUGGUAAAAUCAUCGAAUUCCAAAGCGAUAAAUUGCCAGAUUCUAGACUUUGUUCUAGAAGCAGACACGAAGAUUCUUUCGAGUUCUAGAUUGAGAACCUUUUUGUGCAGGAGGAGCUCAAGAACAAAACGAGAGUAUUUGAAAGCCGAGGUAGCAAAACAAGAGAGUCGUUCAAGAAAAGAACCAAUGCGAGGAGGAGCUUAUUCGCAAAGUAAGAUCCCCUGUAAACUUUGGCUUGUGUGUUUGACGAGCACAUCUCUCCAGUUUGUGGCCUUGCUCAAUUCACAAAAAGCCAAGCUUCGCGAGCUCCAAUUGGCCGUUCCAACACCGUCUAGACGAUCAAGUAGCAGAGACGAUGACGAAGAAGAAGAGGCUACCGACAGAGAAGACAGUGGUGACGAAGAGGAUGAUGAUCAAUCCUCCAUUAGAAUGGCGGCAUCUCCCUCUCUCAACAAAGUAUCUCCCCCAAACUCAAGCAACGAGAGAUCGUUCCCGAGAGUCCCAUUGCUCUGGAGAGUUCAUCCACAGCAACGAGCUUGAAGCAAACUCCUCGAGACGAUAUUGAUGCUACGGAAUUAUACCAG
Molecule: long non-coding RNA, 930 nt
Filed under: Selaginella moellendorffii
Lineage: Eukaryota; Viridiplantae; Streptophyta; Lycopodiopsida; Selaginellales; Selaginellaceae
Description: long non-coding RNA (SMOE_LNC001382)
Source: RNAcentral